This 253-nucleotide ribosomal RNA is filed under the name uncultured bacterium. Its description in RNAcentral is "partial 16S ribosomal RNA". It matches the Rfam family "Bacterial small subunit ribosomal RNA", at positions 524 to 776 of the family's 1533-position model. The record is from RNAcentral.
UACAGAGGGUGCGAGCGUUAAUCGGAAUUACUGGGCGUAAAGCGCACGUAGUCGGCUUUGCAAGUCGGGUGUGAAAUCCUCGGGCUCAACCUGGGAACUGCAUCCGAGACUGCAUUGCUAGAGUAUGGGAGAGGGAAGCGGAAUUUCUGGUGUAGCAGUGAAAUGCGUAGAUAUCAGAAGGAACAUCAGUGGCGAAGGCGGCUUCCUGGACCAAUACUGACGAUCAGGUGCGAAAGCGUGGGGAGCAAACAGG